AAAAAGGUUCUACUUGGAACCAAAAAGGGGUUCUUCAAAGGGUUCU
Molecule: non-coding RNA, 46 nt
Organism: Salmo salar (Atlantic salmon)
Lineage: Eukaryota; Metazoa; Chordata; Actinopteri; Salmoniformes; Salmonidae
Source: Rfam